GGGCCGUUAGCUCCAAUUGGUAGAGCGGCGGAUUGUGGUUCCGUUUGUUACGGGUUCGAAUCCCGUACGGCCCA
This 74-nucleotide transfer RNA is filed under the name Candidatus Falkowbacteria bacterium RIFOXYA2_FULL_35_8. Its description in RNAcentral is "tRNA-His". It matches the Rfam family "tRNA". Rfam says of the family: Transfer RNA (tRNA) molecules are approximately 80 nucleotides in length. Their secondary structure includes four short double-helical elements and three loops (D, anti-codon, and T loops). Further hydrogen bonds mediate the characteristic L-shaped molecular structure. tRNAs have two regions of fundamental functional importance: the anti-codon, which is responsible for specific mRNA codon recognition, and the 3' end, to which the tRNAs corresponding amino acid is attached (by aminoacyl-tRNA synthetases). tRNAs cope with the degeneracy of the genetic code in two manners: having more than one tRNA (with a specific anti-codon) for a particular amino acid; and 'wobble' base-pairing, i.e. permitting non-standard base-pairing at the 3rd anti-codon position. Lineage: Bacteria; Candidatus Falkowiibacteriota. The record is from RNAcentral. RNAcentral also lists the same sequence under 3 other names.